CAGUAGCCGCGGUAAUACGAAGGGUGCAAGCGUUAAUCGGAAUUACUGGGCGUAAAGCGUGCGUAGGCGGUGAGUUAAGUCUGCUGUGAAAUCCCCGGGCUCAACCUGGGAAUGGCAGUGGAUACUGGCUCGCUAGAGUGUGUCAGAGGAUGGUGGAAUUCCCGGUGUAGCGGUGAAAUGCGUAGAGAUCGGGAGGAACAUCAGUGGCGAAGGCGACCACCUGGACUGAUACUGACACUGAGGUGCGAAAGCGUGGGGGAGCAAACAGGAUUAGAUACCCCGGUAGUCCCUGUCUCUUAUA
RNAcentral lists this ribosomal RNA (301 nucleotides) under uncultured bacterium. RNAcentral describes it as "partial 16S ribosomal RNA". It matches the Rfam family "Bacterial small subunit ribosomal RNA", at positions 509 to 808 of the family's 1533-position model. The record is from RNAcentral.